UCGCCUCUCUUCAUAGAUCAUUCAAAUUUUUAUGUCUCGUAAUUUAUGGGCGCCGAACGAGCUUAUUUAUUUCUGUUUUGAGGCUCUUCCAUAUAUAAGCCUGUUAUCAUUCUUGGAACCUCUUCAUUCGUGAGUUUUGAUCAAGGGAUUACUGUCUCCUCGUCCGACAUCAUGUGUGCGUUUAAGAUUGUUCUUUGUCUGGCCCUCUGCGCCGUAGUCGCCUGCCAAAACCAGGGCGCCAACCAAUUCCAACAACAAGGCCAGCAGCAAAACUUUGAUCAGCCACAGCAAUACCAGCCUCAACAGCCACAACAGCAGCAGCAGCAGUCAUUCCAGCCUCAGCAAUCACAAUUGUUCCAACCACAACAGACGCAACAAUUCCAAUCACCGCAAUUCAACUCAUUCCCGCAAUUCCAACAACAGCAGCAGCAGCCAUUCCAGCCGCAAGAGCAACCCAACUUCGGCGGUGAGUCAGACGAGAAGCAGGACGACAACCAGUCGCCGCCGCAACAAGAUCAGUCCCCGAGUCCCCAGGGAGGCCAAUCCUUCGGUCAAAGCUCCCCGAGCCAACCCCAAAGCAACUCCUUCCCCUCCUUCCCGUCUUUCGACUCCAACUCCUUCUCCUUCGGGGUGGAUUCUACAACCAGAAACCCCUCGGUCUCGGCGACAAGAGAUUCAGCGUCGUCGGCCCUGAUGGCUUCACCAGAACCGUAGACUACACCAACGUCUUCAACGACGAACAUGCUGACCUCCCCGCUAACCUUCCUCCAGCAUCCGUCUACAAGUACGCACCCUACGCCUCCAGCAUCCCGACCUUCUACCGACCUGCCGUUGCUGUCCGACCUGCAGUGACCACCCUCCACGCUCCUGCUGUCACCGCCUACCACGCACCCAUCACCACGUACCACGCACCGGCCGUUGUUCCUGCUGCCGUCCAUGCCCCGGUCGUCACCGCAGUCCGCACUCCUGUCGUCAGCACGGUCCAUGCUCCGGUCGUCACAGCUGUCCGCCCGCCCGUUGUCAGCACCGUCGCCGCCGCACCGGUUGUAGCAGCCGUUCGCACACCGGUUGUCAGCGCUGUCCAUGCUCCGGUUGUUACUGCCGUUCAUCCACCUGUUGCCUACGCCGCUUACCCUAGGUACCAGUCCGUCUCUUAUGUAGGUUAGUAAGUCUUCUCGCAGUCAAUCCCACUGUGUAUUUAUUCCCAUGUAGAAGUUUUUAUCAGGUGUUUAAUGAUGUUACCAAAAUGAAGUUCCUCGUCCAUUUUUAUAACUAAAUUAUUAAAUUAUUUUUUGAACGAAUUCCGUGUACUUUUUUCUGUGUGUUUGAUUUUAAAAGAUCCUCCCUUGCGUACAUUGAAAAAAUGAUUUAAAAAGAAUGUCUUAUACUAAAACAAAAUGCUCUGCGAUUUAAAGAACACUUUUGAGGGUUUAGAAUUUCUUUAUUUGAAGGGAAGUUUUUUGAGUGAAAUAUGAAACUGUUCUUCAGUAAACUGAGUUUUUUUUUUAAUUUAGAGAAUAUUAAAUUUGUCAUCGAUAAGAAAGUAACGUUACUUUGAAUUGAAAAAUACGGGCAUGACUUGGAAAAAAAGUCUCUUUCACUUCGAGAAGUUUUUCUUUACAUGUAAAGAAAAUUUUACUUUAUCACAACAAUUUUCAAUCGGCGAGAUUUUAGUUUUAAUUAGAAAAUAUAGGUUUUAAACGUAUGUUUCAGUACCACCCUGGUAACUCAACUUUUAAAACUGUGUCAAAUGAUAAAAAAUAAAAUGAAAUAAUGUAAUCAACUUUAUUCAGAUC
Molecule: long non-coding RNA, 1796 nt
Filed under: Bemisia tabaci
Lineage: Eukaryota; Metazoa; Arthropoda; Insecta; Hemiptera; Aleyrodidae
Description: lncRNA ENSSSA1NGG009293
Source: RNAcentral